Molecule: small nuclear RNA, 107 nt
Organism: Phyllostomus hastatus (greater spear-nosed bat)
Lineage: Eukaryota; Metazoa; Chordata; Mammalia; Chiroptera; Phyllostomidae
Source: RefSeq, a predicted model, not a curated record
GUGCUCACUUUGGCAGCACAUGUACUAAAAUAGGAACCAUACAGAGAAGACUAGCAUGGCCCCUGUGCAAAGAUGACAUGGAAAUUCAUGAAGUGUUACAUAUUUUU